AGCAAACAGGAUUAGAUACCCUGGUAGUCCACGCCCUAAACGAUGUCUACUAGUUGUCGGGUCUUAAUUGACUUGGUAACGCAGCUAACGCGUGAAGUAGACCGCCUGGGGAGUACGGUCGCAAGAUUAAAACUCAAAGGAAUUGACGGGGACCCGCACAAGCGGUGGAUGAUGUGGAUUAAUUCGAUGCAACGCGAAAAACCUUACCUACCCUUGACAUGUACAGAACGCCGAAGAGAUUUGGUGGUGCUCGCAAGAGAACUGUAACACAGGUGCUGCAUGGCUGUCGUCAGCUCGUGUCGUGAGAUGUUGGGUUAAGUCCCGCAACGAGCGCAACCCUUGUCAUUAGUUGCUACGAAAGGGCACUCUAAUGAGACUGCCGGUGACAAACCGGAGGAAGGUGGGGAUGACGUCAAGUCCUCAUGGCCCUUAUGGGUAGGGCUUCACACGUCAUACAAUGGUACAUACAGAGGGCCGCCAACCCGCGAGGGGGAGCUAAUCCCAGAAAGUGUAUCGUAGUCCGGAUUGUAGUCUGCAACUCGACUACAUGAAGUUGGAAUCGUUAGUAAUCGCGGAUCAGCAUGUCGCGGUGAAUACGUUCCCGGGUCUUGUACACACCGCCCGUCACACCAUGGGAGCGGGUUCUGCCAGAAGUAGGUAGCUUAACCGUAAGGAGGGCGCUUACCACGGCAGGGUUCGUGACUGGGGUGAAGUCGUAACAAGGUAGCCGUAUCGGAAGGUGCGGCUGGAUCACCUCCUUUCUG
Molecule: ribosomal RNA, 764 nt
Filed under: uncultured bacterium
Lineage: Bacteria
Description: bacterial SSU rRNA
Rfam family: Bacterial small subunit ribosomal RNA
Source: RNAcentral